UGGGGGAUAUUGCACAAUGGGCGAAAGCCUGAUGCAGCGACGCCGCGUGGGGGAUGAAGGCCUUCGGGUUGUAAACUUCUUUUGCUCUGAACAAGGCAUGCUAAUGGGUGUGUUGAGUGUAGGGGUUGAUUAGCGCCGGCUAACUACGUGCCAGCAGCCGCGGUAAUACGUAGGGCGCGAGCGUUGUCCGGAAUUAUUGGGCGUGAAGGGCUUGUAGGUGGCUGGUUGCGUCUGUCGUGAAAGCUCAUGGCUUAACUGUGGGUUUGCGGUGGGUACGGGCUGGCUAGAGUGCAGUAGGGGAGGGUGGAAUGCCUGGUGUAGCGGUGGAAUGCGCAGAUAUCAGGAGGAGUACCGGUGGCGAAGGCGGGUCUCUGGGCUGUUACUGACACUGAGGAGCGAAAGCAUGGGGAGCGAGCAGG
This 419-nucleotide ribosomal RNA is filed under the name bacterium. RNAcentral's name for it is "partial 16S ribosomal RNA". It matches the Rfam family "Bacterial small subunit ribosomal RNA", at positions 355 to 776 of the family's 1533-position model. The record is from RNAcentral.